Long non-coding RNA from Drosophila gunungcola (fruit fly), 616 nucleotides. RefSeq lists it as uncharacterized. Lineage: Eukaryota; Metazoa; Arthropoda; Insecta; Diptera; Drosophilidae. The transcript is spliced from 3 exons. The record is from RefSeq and is a predicted model, not a curated record.
UUCUGGUUUCUUCUCGUUUAUUUCGACCACUUUCUAAACUGCUUUGUGUGGCUUUUCAAAUAUUUAGAUUGGUAGAUUUUCGAACGUUACAAAUUUUAUGCAAUGAAGAAACCCUUGUAAAAAAGUUUGAACAUACUUGAACAUACAUACAUAGGUGAAAUUGUGUACUACCUUUUUUUAUGGAACAAUAACAUAUGCACAUAAAUAAUUUAUAAAAGUACUCUUUUUAAUUUCAGUCAACUCGAUUCUCUGUAAUUUUAUGGGAUACAGACCAGCCUGAAACAUAUGUACAUAUGUGCAUAAAUAUGGAGUGCACGCAAAAAUCAAGAUCCAGCAUAUUAUUACUAUUCGUGGCAGUGUUUUUGGGUUUGUAUUACUUAUCAUUUGAUAAGUUUUUGUCAGACCUCACAUUGAAGAAAGUUACUAAGAUUGUCCCAGAAUUAAACAUCUGCUGUGUUGGUCCGAUACACCAAUCGAAAGGUAUCCCUAAAAGACACCACACUUGCGCUCUAGUUUGGCAAGAAACCAAAGCUUUUAAACUAGUAAAUCUACAGAAAAGUAUAUGUUAUUUAUAAGGCAUCGACAAAUGUUAAUCAAGCUGCCUUAAUAUACAUAG